This 465-nucleotide ribosomal RNA is filed under the name uncultured bacterium. RNAcentral's name for it is "partial 16S ribosomal RNA". It matches the Rfam family "Bacterial small subunit ribosomal RNA", at positions 28 to 507 of the family's 1533-position model. The record is from RNAcentral.
GAUGAACGCUGGCGGCGUGCUUAACACAUGCCAGUCGAACGGAAAGGCUCCUGCUUGCUGGGGUACUCGAGUGGCGAACGGGUGAGUAACACGUGGGUGAUCUGCCCUGCACUUCGGGAUAAGCCUGGGAAACUGGGUCUAAUACCGGAUAGGACCACAUUUUGGAUGGUGUGGUGGAAAGUGUUUCGGUGUGGGAUGAGCUCGCGGCCUAUCAGCUUGUUGGUGGGGUAAUGGCCUACCAAGGCGUCGACGGGUAGCCGGCCUGAGAGGGUGUACGGCCACAUUGGGACUGAGAUACGGCCCAGACUCCUACGGGAGGCAGCAGUGGGGAAUAUUGCACAAUGGGCGCAAGCCUGAUGCAGCGACGCCGCGUGGGGGAUGACGGCCUUCGGGUUGUAAACUCCUUUCGCUAGGGACGAAGCGCAAGUGACGGUACCUGGAGAAGAAGCACCGGCUAACUACGUG